This 127-nucleotide small RNA is filed under the name Marmota monax (woodchuck). Lineage: Eukaryota; Metazoa; Chordata; Mammalia; Rodentia; Sciuridae. The record is from RNAcentral.
GCUGGGCAUGGUGGUGCAUGCCUGUAAUCCCAGCAGGUUUGGGAGGCUGAGGCAGGAGGAUUGCAAGUUCAAAGCAAGUCUCAGCAAUUUAGCGAGGCGUAAGCAACUCGAGAAGAUCCUGUCUCAA